GCUUCCCCUUGGGUCAGCUACACCCACAGCACCCUGGCGCCUGCACCAUUCCCCUAAUGUUUAUUAUGUUGUCAUCAUAGUCAAAAUGAUACAAAUUCCAUGCAGCCACUGAGUCAUUCCAAUAUGUUCUCAUCAGGACUUUAGGAAGACGGUAUAUGUCCAUUUUACAGACUAUGAAGCUGAGCCUAGCUGAGGUCACACAAAGCAAAAGAUAAUGGUCAGGAGCUGAGCUUGCUCCCAGGCUCCACAGCCAGAACCUGCAAGGUGGCUAUUUACAGGCGUUUUGGCUGCAAGGUGGGUUGUGGCAUCCGUUGAGCCCCAAAGACUGUAACCCCCACGCUGCCACCUCCUGCACUGUCUGGAAAUAGCUUCAGUCCUGCAAACACUAUCUCAAGGGGCCUAUCUCGCCUUUCCUUACAGCCGCUUGGGGCUUCUCAGCUUUGCUUCCUGUUCUCUCAAGUGCUCAGGAGAAAUCUCAUCCUUUGCACUCUGAGUGGCGUGGUCCCCGGCAUGGCCUAGAGGAUCCCAUGGGCAUGUGUCCUAGGGGGAAGUCGGUAAGGGGACUUCUCAGAUUCAACUCGGAAAUCCUCUGCAUCUCCAGGGGAGUGUGGAUGCCCAGCCAAAUGGAGGUUAUGGACAAGCAGAAGAUGAGACAGAGACUCCCAUUUUCCCACCCAGGUUCUUCACCCUGUGGACUGGGAGACACGCCAGCCUCCUUUUCCAUCUAAGAAAUUGCGGCAGCUGUGACUACUCAGGGCAGAAAUGUUUGGAUACAAGCUGGCAUGGAUCAUCCGGAAAGAUCUAGAGAGAUUCACCGCAACAGCAAGGAAAUGCCAGUUCCUUCCUGUGGAGGAGACUGAAGUCCAGGGUCAGUGACCAGGAUUUGGAGAAAGUUCUGGGGCCUCUACCCUUCAAGUUGAUUUUAUUUGUAUUGGUGCUUUGCCUGCAUGCAUGCCAGUGUUCCAUGUGUGUGUGACUGGGCCACUGAGGCCAUAAGAAGAAAUUCCAGAAGGUACCCCUGGAACUGGAGUGACAGACAGUUAGUUGUGAGUCACCUUUUGGUAUCUGGGAACUGAACCAAGGUCCUCUGGAAGAAUAGCAAGUGCUCUUAACUCCUGAGCCAUCUCUCCACCUUGCUCUGCUUCUGAUAGUAUAUUCUCUUAGACUCUCUAGCCUUUCUGAAGGGUCAUGUUAUCAGAGAUUAAAGAUGGUUUAUGUCUUCCCUCUAAGCCAGAUGCUUCUUUGUUCCUGGAAGGUUAGCUCCUGUUUUGAGGUGUGUCUGCCCAGAAUUGUCUUUCCCUCUAGAUCAGGGUUUCUCGGCCAUCCCAAUGCUGUGACUCCUUAAUACAGUUCCUUGUGUUGAGGUGACCCCCCCCCCACCAUAGAAUCAUUUUCAUUGCUACUACAUAACUGUAAUUUUGCUAUUGCUGUGGAUUUUUAUGUAAAUAUCUGAUAUACAGAAUAUCUGAUAUUCAACCCCUGUGAAAGAAAGGGUCAUUUGAUCCCAAGGAGUAGUGACCCACAGGCUGAGAACUGCUGCUCUAGAUAACCCAUAUCUCACUUUCUCCCCUCUUCGGAUGGCUACUUAAAUGUCAGCUUCUUAUGACGGCCUUCCUGGGACACCCUCAUUAAAGCCAAAUCACCCCUGCCUCCUGUUCUCUCUGUCUCUGUCUCUCUGUCUCU
This 1683-nucleotide long non-coding RNA is filed under the name Cricetulus griseus (Chinese hamster). RNAcentral's name for it is "lncRNA (ENSCGRG00015036124.1)". The record is from RNAcentral. Lineage: Eukaryota; Metazoa; Chordata; Mammalia; Rodentia; Cricetidae.